RNAcentral lists this ribosomal RNA (370 nucleotides) under uncultured organism. RNAcentral describes it as "bacterial SSU rRNA". It matches the Rfam family "Bacterial small subunit ribosomal RNA", at positions 526 to 896 of the family's 1533-position model. The record is from RNAcentral.
CAGAGGGUGCGAGCGUUAAUCGGAAUUACUGGGCGUAAAGGGCGCGUAGGCGGUUGUGUGAGUGUGGUGUGAAAGCCCCGGGCUUAACCUGGGAAGUGCAUCGCAAACGACAUAACUGGAGUAGAUGAGAGGGUGGCGGAAUUUCCGGUGUAGCGGUGAAAUGCGUAGAGAUCGGAAGGAACGUCAAUGGCGAAGGCAGCCACCUGGCAUCAUACUGACGCUGAGGCGCGAAAGCGUGGGGAGCGAACAGGAUUAGAUACCCUGGUAGUCCACGCCGUAAACGAUGAGUACUAAAGGUUGGUAGGGGAACCUAUCAGUCUUGAAGCUAACGCGAUAAGUACUCCGCCUGGGAAGUACGGCCGCAAGGUUG